Molecule: ribosomal RNA, 460 nt
Filed under: uncultured bacterium
Lineage: Bacteria
Description: partial 16S ribosomal RNA
Rfam family: Bacterial small subunit ribosomal RNA
Source: RNAcentral
CCUACGGGUGGCUGCAGUGAGGAAUAUUGGUCAAUGGCCGGAAGGCUGAACCAGCCAUGCCGCGUGAAGGUCAGUGCCCUAUGGGCGUUAAACUUCUUUUGUGCGGGAGCAAUAAUGGUCACGUGUGGCCAGACGAUAGUACCGUACGAAUCAGCAUCGGCUAACUCCGUGCCAGCAGCCGCGGUAAUACGGGGGAUGCAAGCGUUAUCCGGAUUUAUUGGGUUUAAAGGGUGCGUAGGCUGUGAGGUAAGUCAGCGGUGAAAUGCCCCCGCUCAACGGGGUGAAGUGCCAUUGAUACUGCCUGGCUGGAAGGCGGAUGCCGUGGGAGGAAUGUGUGGUGGAGCGGUGAAAUGCAUAGAUAUCACACAGAACACCGAGUGCGAAGGCAUCUCACGAAGCCGCGAUUGACGCUGAUGCACGAAAGCGUGGGUAUCAAACAGGAUUAGAUACCCCUGUAGUC